This 32-nucleotide transfer RNA is filed under the name Rhinella proboscidea. Its description in RNAcentral is "partial tRNA-Gln". The record is from RNAcentral. Lineage: Eukaryota; Metazoa; Chordata; Amphibia; Anura; Bufonidae.
UAAUUUUAGAAAAAUAGGAAUUGAACCUAUAA